AGAGUUUGAUCAUGGCUCAGGAUGAACGCUAGCUACAGGCUUAACACAUGCAAGUCGAGGGGAAACGACAUCGAAAGCUUGCUUUUGAUGGGCGUCGACCGGCGCACGGGUGAGUAACGCGUAUCCAACCUACCCUUGUCCAUCGGAUAACCCGUCGAAAGGCGGCCUAACACGAUAUGCGGUUCACGGCAGGCAUCUAAGGUGAACGAAAUGUGAAGGAGAAGGAUGGGGAUGCGUCUGAUUAGCUUGUUGGCGGGGUAACGGCCACCAAGGCUACGAUCAGUAGGGGUUCUGAGAGGAAGGUCCCCCACAUUGGAACUGAGACACGGUUCCAAACUCCUACGGGAGCA
Molecule: ribosomal RNA, 350 nt
Filed under: uncultured bacterium
Lineage: Bacteria
Description: bacterial SSU rRNA
Rfam family: Bacterial small subunit ribosomal RNA
Source: RNAcentral